RNAcentral lists this ribosomal RNA (368 nucleotides) under uncultured organism. RNAcentral's name for it is "bacterial SSU rRNA". It matches the Rfam family "Bacterial small subunit ribosomal RNA", at positions 526 to 896 of the family's 1533-position model. The record is from RNAcentral.
CGAAGGAUCCAAGCGUUGUCCGGAUUUACUGGGUUUAAAGGGUGCGUAGGCGGACUUUUAAGUCAGUGGUGAAAGCCUGUAGCUUAACUAUAGAAUUGCCAUUGAAACUGAAAGUCUCGAGUGUGGUUGAGGUAACUGGAAUAUAUCAUGUAGCGGUGAAAUGCUUAGAUAUGAUAUAGAACACCAAUUGCGAAGGCAGGUUACUGAGCCAUUACUGACGCUGAGGCACGAAAGCGUGGGGAUCAAACAGGAUUAGAUACCCUGGUAGUCCACGCCGUAAACGUUGCAUACUCGAUCUUAGCGAUACACAGUUAGGAUCCAAGCGAAAGCGUUAAGUAUGCCACCUGGGAAGUACGUUCGCAAGAAUG